RNAcentral lists this ribosomal RNA (462 nucleotides) under uncultured bacterium. RNAcentral describes it as "bacterial SSU rRNA". It matches the Rfam family "Bacterial small subunit ribosomal RNA", at positions 917 to 1382 of the family's 1533-position model. The record is from RNAcentral.
GGGCCCGCACAAGCAGUGGAGUAUGUGGUUUAAUUCGAAGCAACGCGAAGAACCUUACCAGGGCUUGACAUGCAGGUGAAUAUGUUAGAGAUAAUAUAGUCCUUCGGGACACCUGUGCAGGUGGUGCAUGGUUGUCGUCAGCUCGUGUCGUGAGAUGUUGGGUUAAGUCCCGCAACGAGCGCAACCCCUGUUGUUAGUUGCCAUCAUUCAGUUGGGCACUCUAGCGAGACUGCCGGUGACAAAUCGGAGGAAGGUGGGGACGACGUCAAAUCAUCAUGCCCCUUAUGUCCUGGGCUACACACGUACUACAAUGGCUAUUACAACGGGAAGCGAAGCGGUAACGCGGAGCCAAACCUUAAAAAUAGCCCCAGUUCAGAUUGUGGGCUGCAACUCGCCCACAUGAAGUCGGAAUUGCUAGUAAUGGCAGGUCAGCAUACUGCCGUGAAUACGUUCCCGGGCCUU